UCGAGAAUCAUUCACAAUGGGGGAAACCCUGAUGGUGCGACGCCGCGUGGGGGAUGAAGGUCUUCGGAUUGUAAACCCCUGUCAUUUGUGAACAAACCUUUUGGUUUAAUAGAUCAAAAGCUGAUAGUAGCAAAAGAGGAAGGGACGGCUAACUCCGUGCCAGCAGCCGCGGUAAUACGGAGGUCCCAAGCGUUGUUCGGAUUUACUGGGCGUAAAGGGUGCGUAGGUGGCCAGGAAAGUUUGAUGUGAAAGCUCCGAGCUCAACUCGGAAAAUGCAUUGAAUACUACUUGGCUUGAGGAUCGGAGGGGAGACUGGAAUUCUCGGUGUAGCAGUGAAAUGCGUAGAUAUCGAGAGGAACACCAGUGGCGAAGGCGAGUCUCUGGACGAUUCCUGACACUGAGGCACGAAAGCUAGGGGAGCAAACAGG
Molecule: ribosomal RNA, 428 nt
Filed under: uncultured bacterium
Lineage: Bacteria
Description: bacterial SSU rRNA
Rfam family: Bacterial small subunit ribosomal RNA
Source: RNAcentral